AGUUUGAUCCUGGCUCAGGAUGAACGCUAGCGGCAGGCUUAAUACAUGCAAGUCGAGGGGCAGCGGGGGUAGCAAUACCUGCCGGCGACCGGCAAACGGGUGCGGAACACGUACGCAACUUUCCCAAAACUGGUGAAUAGCCUUCCGAAAGGGAGAUUAAUACACCGUAAGUUAAUGAGGUGGCAUCACUUUAUUAAUAUAGCUCCGGCGGUUUUGGAUGGGCGUGCGGCUGAUUAGGUAGUUGGCGGGGUAACGGCCCACCAAGCCUGCGAUCAGUAACUGGUGUGAGAGCACGACCAGUCACACGGGCACUGAGACACGGGCCCGACUCCUACGGGAGGCAGCAGUAAGGAAUAUUGGUCAAUGGACGCAAGUCUGAACCAGCCAUGCCGCGUGCAGGAUGAAGGCCCUCUGGGUUGUAAACUGCUUUUAUAGGGGACGAAAAAGGGACUUUCUAGUUCAACUGACGGUACCCUAGGAAUAAGCACCGGCUAACUCCGUGCCAGCAGCCGCGGUAAUACGGAGGGUGCAAGCGUUAUCCGGAUUUACUGGGUUUAAAGGGUGCGUAGGUGGGUCGGUAAGUCAGCGGUGAAAUCUUCGAGCUUAACUCGGAAACUGCCAUUGAUACUAUCGAUCUUGAAUCAUCUAGAGGUAAGCGGAAUAUGUCAUGUAGCGGUGAAAUGCUUAGAUAUGACAUAGAACACCAAUUGCGAAGGCAGCUUACUAUGGAUGUAUUGACACUGAGGCACGAAAGCGUGGGGAUCAAACAGGAUUAGAUACCCUGGUAGUCCACGCCCUAAACGAUGGAUACUCGACAUCAGCGAUACACUGUUGGUGUCUGAGCGAAAGCAUUAAGUAUCCCACCUGGGAAGUACGAUCGCAAGAUUGAAACUCAAAGGAAUUGACGGGGGCCCGCACAAGCGGAGGAGCAUGUGGUUUAAUUCGAUGAUACGCGAGGAACCUUACCCGGGCUUGAAAGUUACUGAAGAAUUUAGAGAUAGAUUCGUCCUUCGGGACAGGAAACUAGGUGCUGCAUGGCUGUCGUCAGCUCGUG
Molecule: ribosomal RNA, 1054 nt
Filed under: uncultured bacterium
Lineage: Bacteria
Description: bacterial SSU rRNA
Rfam family: Bacterial small subunit ribosomal RNA
Source: RNAcentral